This 255-nucleotide ribosomal RNA is filed under the name uncultured bacterium. Its description in RNAcentral is "partial 16S ribosomal RNA". It matches the Rfam family "Bacterial small subunit ribosomal RNA", at positions 524 to 776 of the family's 1533-position model. The record is from RNAcentral.
UACGUAGGGCGCAAGCGUUGUCCGGAAUUAUUGGGCGUAAAGAGCUCGUAGGCGGUUCGUCGCGUCGGCUGUGAAAUCCCGAGGCUCAACCUCGGGUCUGCAGUCGAUACGGGCGGACUGGAGUUCGGCAGGGGAGACUGGAAUUCCUGGUGUAGCGGUGAAAAUGCGCAGAUAUCAGGAGGAACACCGGUGGCGAAGGCGGGUCUCUGGGCCGAUACUGACGCUGAGGAGCGAAAGCGUGGGGGAGCGAACAGG